RNAcentral lists this ribosomal RNA (253 nucleotides) under uncultured bacterium. Its description in RNAcentral is "partial 16S ribosomal RNA". It matches the Rfam family "Bacterial small subunit ribosomal RNA", at positions 524 to 776 of the family's 1533-position model. The record is from RNAcentral.
UACGGAGGGUGCGAGCGUUGUCCGGAAUCAUUGGGCGUAAAGGGCGCGUAGGUGGCCUGCUAAGCGUGCGGUGAAAGCUCGGGGCUCAACCCCGAGUCGGCCGUGCGAACUGGUGGGCUUGAGCACUGUAGAGGCAGGAGGAAUUCCGGGUGUAGCGGUGGAAUGCGUAGAGAUCCGGAAGAACACCGGUGGCGAAGGCGGCCUGCUGGGCAGUAGCUGACACUGAGGCGCGACAGCGUGGGGAGCAAACAGG